RNAcentral lists this ribosomal RNA (720 nucleotides) under uncultured bacterium. RNAcentral's name for it is "bacterial SSU rRNA". It matches the Rfam family "Bacterial small subunit ribosomal RNA", at positions 388 to 1126 of the family's 1533-position model. The record is from RNAcentral.
GCAGCAACGCCGCGUGGGGGAGGAAGGCCUUCGGGUCGUAAACCCCUUUUCGGGGGGAUGAGGAAGGACAGUACCCCCGGAAUAAGCCUCGGCUAACUACGUGCCAGCAGCCGCGGUAAAACGUAGGAGGCGAGCGUUAUCCGGAUUUACUGGGCGUAAAGCGCGUGCAGGCGGUCCGGUAAGUCGGACGUGAAAGCUCCUGGCUCAACUGGGAGAGGCCGUUCGAGACUGCCGGACUAGAGGGCGGUAGAGGGAGGUGGAAUUCCGGGUGUAGCGGUGAAAUGCGUAGAUAUCCGGAGGAACACCAGUGGCGAAGGCGGCCUCCUGGACCGUCCCUGACGCUCAGACGCGAAAGCUAGGGGAGCGAACGGGAUUAGAAACCCCGGUAGUCCUAGCCGUAAACGAUGCGGACUUGGUGUUGGGGGCUUCAACGCCCUCAGUGCCGAAGCUAACGCGUUAAGUCCGCCGCCUGGGGACUACGGCCGCAAGGCUAAAACUCAAAGGAAUUGACGGGUCCCCGCACAAGCGGCGGAGCAUGCGGCUUAAUUCGAUGCAACCCGAAGAACCUUACCUGGGCUUGACAUCACGGGAAAAGCCGUAGAAAUACGGUGUCCGUAAGGGCCCGUGACAGGUGGUGCAUGGCUGUCGUCAGCUCGUGUCGUGAGAUGUUGGGUUAAGUCCCGCAACGAGCGCAACCCCCGUCCUAUGUUGCCAGCGGUU